RNAcentral lists this long non-coding RNA (1546 nucleotides) under Oncorhynchus kisutch (coho salmon). RNAcentral describes it as "lncRNA (ENSOKIG00005036442.1)". Lineage: Eukaryota; Metazoa; Chordata; Actinopteri; Salmoniformes; Salmonidae. The record is from RNAcentral.
GUCCUAAAGCGUUAACUCCCCCCCUCCGUUGGCCAUUGAAGAGAACGCUGCGUGGGCUGCUAGAUCAUUUGAGAGUGCAUUUUUCUCCUCCAAUCCGCUACACAGAGCACACUCCCCAUAUGCCCAAUGGGGAGAAGGGGUGGCUCUAACGAAUUUGAAUGAAGAGGGUAGCUUUCGGCGCCAUUUUCGAGUGAGCUGCGAUUGCUUCAACAGCUGAGAGGAGCGGCUGCAGUGAGUAGGCAAGACGAGCUCUGGAGCUGUCGCAAGAGACGGACGUUAUUUUCGGAGACUCGGAAAAUUAUAUACAAAAAUUAUCCCUAAAAAAGAACGCCGAUGGAUAAAGAAAAGGGAUAGAAGGCCAAGACUACGUCGUAUCAGGACUGGGGGAAACGUUAGAUAGUUAGCCAGCUACUGUAACGUUAGCAUUACUAGCGAUAAGAAAUUGGUGUCUGACUUGGCGUCUGUUGAAAUGUAACGUUUAUAAAUGCAUUUACGACAAAAUAAGUGGACCUCUCUAAAAAAAGAUCCAAACAUUUUAGAAAAAAUAUUUCAGGGUCGAUUGAGUGGAGAAUGACCGGUAGAAUUUAGAUAUUUUUUUUUUUGCGUUUUUAGUCCUAUUUUAGAGCGUUCCGUUUGAGCGGGAGGUGGAAAAGCGGGAGGCGCUGGAGUGAAGAGCCAGUCGGCACCGCUGUCAACAACAUGCACUGCGAGAUGAAUCUUCAUAUCGUUGGCUACCUCUUGAAAACGCUGCAAGGAUUUUUCUGUAAAGCCGAGGACACCUUUUCAUGUUUGAUUUAUUCAUAAAUUUUUUUAAAUGUAUAUUUUUUUAAAGGAAUUUUAAAAGUCUUACUUGUUUCACGUUUUUAUCACGUUUCUAGCUAAGUUAACAUUGGUGGAUUCGCUUGAUUGAAAACGUUAUACAACGUUUUAUGGGCUCUGUCAUGGUGUGCUUCCACAACUGCAGUAUCACGGGCAGGCCAGAAAGAGGCUAUCAUGGUGCCUCCCUCAUAAAACAGGAUACUACUUUACACGUCCUGAUAAUUUUUACUUUUUAACCAGUUCAAAGCAGAAUCCAUGUUUUUUAUUAUUUUGGGAGUGUGACUGGUAUUAUGUAAAGUGUAUGGCUAUUGUUGAUGUCAGAUAAGUGCUUAUCAUUGGAAGCAUGUUUUUAUUUAACUAGUCAGUUAAGAACAAAUUCUUAUUAACAAUGACUGCCUAACAAAAGGCCUUCUACGGGGGCUGGGAUUAAAAAUAUAGGACAAAACGCACAUCACGACGAGACACCAAUCCAUAAAGAGAUGCAGACGGGUAUGUUAUGUACACACUGACUCACACAUAUUAAGUUGCUUGUGUCAUGCAUGCAUCACCCCCUACUUAAAACAAUGUCUCAGGUUGGUGUGCUGAGCAAUUGUAUUGAAGUCCUCAUAUUUUUAUACUGGUGAAGUGAUAAUGCCAUUUGUAUAUCAUUGAGGGUUUUGUAAAGCUUUGCACAAGUUAGUGCAGUUCAUAUUUUCUGUGUGUACUGAACAAAAAUAUAAAUGCAAAA